Molecule: ribosomal RNA, 432 nt
Filed under: uncultured bacterium
Lineage: Bacteria
Description: partial 16S ribosomal RNA
Rfam family: Bacterial small subunit ribosomal RNA
Source: RNAcentral
AACGAACGCUGGCGGCAGGCCUAACACAUGCAAGUCGAGCGAGGACUUCGGUCCUAGCGGCGGACGGGUGAGUAACGCGUGGGAACGUGCCCUUUGCUUCGGAAUAGCCCUGGGAAACUGGGAGUAAUACCGGAUGAGCCCUUUGGGGGAAAGAUUUAUCGGCGAAGGAUCGGCCCGCGUUGGAUUAGGUAGUUGGUGGGGUAAUGGCCUACCAAGCCGACGAUCCAUAGCUGGUUUGAGAGGAUGCUCAGCCACACUGGGACUGGGACACGGCCCAGACGCCAGGGGGCGGGGGGGGUGGGUGAACUAAGAGAGGGGGGGAAACCCAGCUACGCCGCGGGCGGGAGGGCGGCCAAGGGUUUGGGGUUCGAAAUCGCUUUUGACGGGGAGUGAGAGACGGGAACCAGUAAAGAAACCCCGGCUAACCUCCGU